UACUAGGCAUUUCAUCCUGCGGGUUGCAGUCUGUGCUCUUCAGACUGUUGCUGGGUUGAAAUGCUUCUGCAGGACCGAUUCUGAGGUUGUGUAGAUAUUUCUCAAGGGCCUACUCAUUUGAGGAUAUCAGCGACAUUUUGCAAGAUCAUCUGAGGAACAGGAAAGCAUCUGAAAUCAACUGAAAAGGAUAACUGUAGCGGUUUUUUACCGGGGAAGGAAACUGUCUUGGCACAGAGGCAGAUGAUUGAAUAAAGUAGUUGGCUCAGAGAAGAUGCACAGUCUGCUGUUUUUCCUCUGAAUGAAGACCGUUUAAUGGAAGCUGUAUUCGUGUAGAGAUGAAAGGAAAUACUAGCGUGAUAAACUACUUUCUUCCCUUCGUUUUUUAAAAUGAAAGAAAACUCAGAAGCAGUAAUUGGAGCUCAAAGGUCUUCUGAUUCUUUUCCUGUCUGCUUGUUGUGUUAGGAUUCUCCAUUGACACCAUUUCUGCCUGGUGCCUGGUUCUUUUUGCUGGGCAGCCAGAAACAACUGCCUGAUGGAGAAAGAAUGAAAGCUUUGCCGUGCCUAUGUUCCUGAUGGGAAAAAGCUAUCUGUGUUUCGGCUGUUAUAUGCGAAGUCUGGAUUAAUCAGUUUGUGUUCUCGUACCAGUAGUCCUGUUGCCUCCUGUGAUCUGACUCAUCACGUGUAAAUGUGCUGCAGCUUUGCUGUUAAUGCAGAGUGGUGGCUGUUUGCUUUUUCUUUCUUUCCUGAACACAGGAAGAAUUGUCAACCCUUCAAUUUUUAGGAUUUAUGCUAAAUUCUAUAUCUUUUUGUUUGUUUCCUGGAUAAUAUCUGUAUUAAGUCAGUGAAACUGAAAAAAAUGAAGACAAAGUAGAAGUGGGAACAGAACAGUGAGAUUUUGUUUUUUUAUUUUCAGCUACAAGCCGCCCAGCCUACUGGUAACUAUAUGACCUUGUAGACAAGAGUGGGAUAUCCGUGGCCACCCUCUCUCAUAGCAGUUGUUUCUAAUUGCAUUUUUUAUGCUCUGGUGGCGUGUCACCCAAAACAGUGAUUGUUUUGUACAAGUAAAUUUCAGAGCUCAAUGUAACUACUUUGGUGGAAGAAAAAUAUUUUUAAAAGAAUUAGUCCUUGACGGAGUUUUAAUUAUUGACACAUUGAUGUGAAACUUUUUAUAGAUUGCAAUAACCUGGCAGAAAGAAAUAGGUUUUUCUUUUAGGAAGUUAUGUAUCUUAAUUUUAAACGUGAGUUUCUCUAAUAUUAUCAACUAUAAAACCAGCUGCACUGUUCAGAGAAUGUUCAUAAGUGGUGUACAGAAGAGGAGGAAAAACUGCUUGUGCUCGUCCCACUGUGACUUCUAUCACGUAGCGUGGAGUUGAAUGUUUUAAAAGAGCGAAUGAGUCGAGUGUGUAUUGUUGUUUUGGAGGAGGUAGAAGAUGAUUCUCCUGUAUUCAUUUCUAAAUUGCCCCAGGAAAGUAAAUCUCUACAUUCUCCAUCCUCUGGAAAUGUAUUGCCAUCACUGGUGCAAGCUAUAUUUAACGGUGAUCCAGAUGAAGUUCGAGCACUAAUAUUUAAGAAAGAAGAUGUUAACUUUCAGGAUAAUGAGAAGAGAACUCCUUUACAUGCUGCUGCCUAUCUUGGAGAUGCAGAAAUCAUUGAACUGCUUAUUUUAUCUGGAGCUAGAGUUAAUGCCAAAGACAGCAAAUGGUUGACACCUUUACACAGAGCAGUUGCAUCUUGUAGUGAGGAAGCAGUUCAGAUACUUUUGAAGCAUUCUGCCGAUGUUAAUGCUCGAGACAAAAAUUGGCAGACCCCUUUACAUAUAGCUGCUGCUAAUAAAGCUGUAAAGUGCGCCGAGUCUUUGGUACCUCUUCUGAGUAAUGUGAACGUAUCGGAUCGAGCAGGAAGAACUGCAUUACAUCAUGCAGCUUUCAGUGGGCAUGGCGAGAUGGUCAAACUACUCCUGUCCAGAGGUGCCAAUAUUAAUGCUUUUGACAAGAAAGAUAGACGUGCCAUCCAUUGGGCAGCAUAUAUGGGUCACAUUGAAGUAGUGAAGUUACUUGUGUCUCAUGGAGCUGAAGUGACGUGCAAGGAUAAGAAGUCUUACACACCUCUUCAUGCAGCAGCCUCUAGUGGAAUGAUCAGUGUAGUCAAAUACCUUCUAGAUCUUGGAGUUGAUAUGAAUGAACCCAAUGCCUAUGGAAACACACCUCUUCAUGUGGCCUGUUAUAAUGGACAAGACGUUGUUGUAAACGAACUCAUAGACUGUGGUGCUAAUGUGAAUCAGAAGAAUGAGAAAGGAUUCACUCCUUUGCACUUUGCUGCUGCAUCCACACAUGGAGCACUGUGUUUAGAACUCCUGGUUAGCAAUGGGGCUGACGUCAAUAUGAAGAGUAAAGAUGGGAAAACCCCACUACACAUGACUGCUCUCCACGGUAGAUUCUCCAGAUCACAAACCAUUAUCCAGAGUGGUAAAAAGAGCUGUAAUUGACUGUGAAGAUAAAAAUGGAAACACCCCUUUGCAUAUAGCAGCCCGGUAUGGCCAUGAGCUGCUAAUCAACACUCUUAUUACAAGUGGUGCUGACACUGCAAAGCGUGGUAUACAUGGAAUGUUCCCACUCCAUUUGGCAGCCUUAAGUGGUUUUUCGGACUGCUGCAGGAAACUUCUUUCUUCAG
Non-coding RNA from Peromyscus maniculatus bairdii (prairie deer mouse), 2670 nucleotides. NCBI's taxonomy places the organism in Eukaryota, Metazoa, Chordata, Mammalia, Rodentia, Cricetidae. The record is from RefSeq and is a predicted model, not a curated record.